UAAUACGGAGGGGGCAAGCGUUGUUCGGAAUUAUUGGGCGUAAAGCGUGUGUAGGCGGUUAAGUAAGUCAGGCGUGCAAGCCCGUGGCUCAACCACGGAAUUGCGUUUGAAACUAUUUAGCUUGAGUACAGGAGAGGAAAGUGGAAUUCCCAGUGUAGCGGUGAAAUGCAUUGAUAUUGGGAAGAACAUCUGUGGCGAAGGCGGCUUUCUGGUCUGUUACUGACGCUGAGAUACGAAAGCCAGGGUAGCGAACGGGAUUAGAUACCCCGGUAGUCCUGGCUGUAAACGAUGGGCACUAGGUGCAGGAGGUAUCGAUCCCCUCUGUGCCGUAGCUAACGCGUUAAGUGCCCCGCCUGGGGAGUACGGUCGCAAGGCUG
This 377-nucleotide ribosomal RNA is filed under the name uncultured delta proteobacterium. RNAcentral's name for it is "bacterial SSU rRNA". It matches the Rfam family "Bacterial small subunit ribosomal RNA", at positions 521 to 896 of the family's 1533-position model. The record is from RNAcentral. Lineage: Bacteria; Deltaproteobacteria.